GGCCUGAAGGCGAGAGUUUUUAGGUCUGGCCUGCCCAAUGAGAUGUUUAAUGGCUGCGGUAUUUUGACCGUGCAAAGGUAGCAUAAUCAUUAGUUUUUUAAUUGAAAGCUUGUAUGAAAGGUUUGAUGGAAAAAUAUCUGUCUCUAUGGAAGUUAAUUAGAAUUUUAUUUCUAAGUCAAAAAGCUUAGAUAAAUGUAGAAGACGAGAAGACCCUAUAGAGUUUUAUAUCUAGUAGAGAUAAGGGUUUUGAGUAAAUAAAAUUUUUAUUUUGAAGGGGUAUUUUGUUGGGGUGACAGAAAAAUUUGUUUAACUUUUUUUUUAUAAAGACAUGAAUGAAUGGGUUUUUGAUCCUUAUUUAAAGAUUAAAAGAAAAAACUACCUUAGGGAUAACAGCGUUAUUUUUUUUAGAGUUCUUAUCGAAUAAAAAGAUUGCGACCUCGAUGUUGGAUUAAAAUGAAUUACUGGUGUAGCAGCUAGGUGAUUAGGUCUGUUCGACCUUUAAAAUUUUACAUGA
Molecule: ribosomal RNA, 514 nt
Filed under: Trigonopterus taenzleri
Lineage: Eukaryota; Metazoa; Arthropoda; Insecta; Coleoptera; Curculionidae
Description: partial large subunit ribosomal RNA
Rfam family: Bacterial large subunit ribosomal RNA
Source: RNAcentral